This 1372-nucleotide ribosomal RNA is filed under the name uncultured bacterium. RNAcentral's name for it is "bacterial SSU rRNA". It matches the Rfam family "Bacterial small subunit ribosomal RNA", at positions 28 to 1381 of the family's 1533-position model. The record is from RNAcentral.
GAUGAACGCUGGCGGCGUGCCUAAUACAUGCAAGUCGAGCGAACGGACGAGAAGCUUGCUUCUCUGAUGUUAGCGGCGGACGGGUGAGUAACACGUGGAUAACCUACCUAUAAGACUGGGAUAACUUCGGGAAACCGGAGCUAAUACCGGAUAAUAUUUUGAACCGCAUGGUUCAAAAGUGAAAGACGGUCUUGCUGUCACUUAUAGAUGGAUCCGCGCUGCAUUAGCUAGUUGGUAAGGUAACGGCUUACCAAGGCAACGAUGCAUAGCCGACCUGAGAGGGUGAUCGGCCACACUGGAACUGAGACACGGUCCAGACUCCUACGGGAGGCAGCAGUAGGGAAUCUUCCGCAAUGGGCGAAAGCCUGACGGAGCAACGCCGCGUGAGUGAUGAAGGUCUUCGGAUCGUAAAACUCUGUUAUUAGGGAAGAACAUAUGUGUAAGUAACUGUGCACAUCUUGACGGUACCUAAUCAGAAAGCCACGGCUAACUACGUGCCAGCAGCCGCGGUAAUACGUAGGUGGCAAGCGUUAUCCGGAAUUAUUGGGCGUAAAGCGCGCAUAGGCGGUUUUUUAAGUCUGAUGUGAAAGCCCACGGCUCAACCGUGGAGGGUCAUUGGAAACUGGAAAACUUGAGUGCAGAAGAGGAAAGUGGAAUUCCAUGUGUAGCGGUGAAAUGCGCAGAGAUAUGGAGGAACACCAGUGGCGAAGGCGACUUUCUGGUCUGUAACUGACGCUGAUGUGCGAAAGCGUGGGGAUCAAACAGGAUUAGAUACCCUGGUAGUCCACGCCGUAAACGAUGAGUGCUAAGUGUUAGGGGGUUUCCGCCCCUUAGUGCUGCAGCUAACGCAUUAAGCACUCCGCCUGGGGAGUACGACCGCAAGGUUGAAACUCAAAGGAAUUGACGGGGACCCGCACAAGCGGUGGAGCAUGUGGUUUAAUUCGAAGCAACGCGAAGAACCUUACCAAAUCUUGACAUCCUUUGACAACUCUAGAGAUAGAGCUUUCCCCUUCGGGGGACAAAGUGACAGGUGGUGCAUGGUUGUCGUCAGCUCGUGUCGUGAGAUGUUGGGUUAAGUCCCGCAACGAGCGCAACCCUUAAGCUUAGUUGCCAUCAUUAAGUUGGGCACUCUAAGUUGACUGCCGGUGACAAACCGGAGGAAGGUGGGGAUGACGUCAAAUCAUCAUGCCCCUUAUGAUUUGGGCUACACACGUGCUACAAUGGACAAUACAAAGGGCAGCGAAACCGCGAGGUCAAGCAAAUCCCAUAAAGUUGUUCUCAGUUCGGAUUGUAGUCUGCAACUCGACUACAUGAAGCUGGAAUCGCUAGUAAUCGUAGAUCAGCAUGCUACGGUGAAUACGUUCCCGGGUCU